CCCUUAGAUGUUCUGGGCCGCACGCGCGCUACACUGACGAAUGCAACGAGCUUAUAACCUUGGCCGAAAGGUCUGGGUAAUCUCCAAAUUUCGUCGUGAUGGGGAUAGAUUAUUGCAAUUAUUAAUCUUCAACGAGGAAUGCCUAGUAAGCGCAAGUCAUCGGCUUGCGUUGAUUACGUCCCUGCCCUUUGUACACACCGCCCGUCGCUCCUACCGAUUGAAUGGUCCGGUGAAGCGUUCGGACCGUGGCCUUUGGACGGUUCGCCGUCUGUUGGCUGCGGGAAGUUCGUUAAACCUUAUCAUUUAGAGGAAGGAGAANUCGUANCA
This 327-nucleotide ribosomal RNA is filed under the name uncultured eukaryote. RNAcentral describes it as "partial 18S ribosomal RNA". It matches the Rfam family "Eukaryotic small subunit ribosomal RNA", at positions 1470 to 1796 of the family's 1831-position model. The record is from RNAcentral.